RNAcentral lists this small RNA (123 nucleotides) under Marmota monax (woodchuck). The record is from RNAcentral. Lineage: Eukaryota; Metazoa; Chordata; Mammalia; Rodentia; Sciuridae.
GCAGAGCAUGGUAGUGCAUGCCUGUAAUCCCAGUGGCUUGGGAGGCUGAGGCAGGAGGAUCGAGUUCAAAGCCAGCCUCAGCAAAAGCAAGGCGCUAAGCAACUCAGUGAGACCCUGUCUCUA